GUGCUUGAUUCGGCAGCACGUAUACUAAAAUUGGAACGAUACAAGGAAGAUUAUCAUGUCCCUUGCACAAAGAUGACACGCAAAUUCAUGAAGCAUUCUAUAUUUUU
Molossus molossus (Pallas's mastiff bat) is the source of this 107-nucleotide small nuclear RNA. The record is from RefSeq and is a predicted model, not a curated record. Lineage: Eukaryota; Metazoa; Chordata; Mammalia; Chiroptera; Molossidae.